This 529-nucleotide ribosomal RNA is filed under the name Alternaria alternata. Its description in RNAcentral is "eukaryotic LSU rRNA". The stretch from base 206 to 359 matches the Rfam family "5.8S ribosomal RNA". The record is from RNAcentral. Lineage: Eukaryota; Fungi; Ascomycota; Dothideomycetes; Pleosporales; Pleosporaceae.
UAACAAGGUCUCCGUAGGUGAACCUGCGGAGGGAUCAUUACACAAAUAUGAAGGCGGGCUGGAACCUCUCGGGGUUACAGCCUUGCUGAAUUAUUCACCCUUGUCUUUUGCGUACUUCUUGUUUCCUUGGUGGGUUCGCCCACCACUAGGACAAACAUAAACCUUUUGUAAUUGCAAUCAGCGUCAGUAACAAAUUAAUAAUUACAACUUUCAACAACGGAUCUCUUGGUUCUGGCAUCGAUGAAGAACGCAGCGAAAUGCGAUAAGUAGUGUGAAUUGCAGAAUUCAGUGAAUCAUCGAAUCUUUGAACGCACAUUGCGCCCUUUGGUAUUCCAAAGGGCAUGCCUGUUCGAGCGUCAUUUGUACCCUCAAGCUUUGCUUGGUGUUGGGCGUCUUGUCUCUAGCUUUGCUGGAGACUCGCCUUAAAGUAAUUGGCAGCCGGCCUACUGGUUUCGGAGCGCAGCACAAGUCGCACUCUCUAUCAGCAAUAGGUCUAGCAUCCAUUAAGCCUUUUUUUCAACUUUGACCU